This 331-nucleotide ribosomal RNA is filed under the name uncultured eukaryote. RNAcentral's name for it is "partial 18S ribosomal RNA". It matches the Rfam family "Eukaryotic small subunit ribosomal RNA", at positions 1470 to 1796 of the family's 1831-position model. The record is from RNAcentral.
CCCUUAGAUGUCCGGGGCCGCACGCGCGCUACACUGAAGGAAUCAGCGUGGCUUUCUCCCUGACCCGAAAGGGUUGGGAAACCCGUUGAAUCUCCUUCGUGAUAGGGAUUGGGGCUUGAAAUUGUUCCCCAUGAACGAGGAAUUCCCAGUAAGCGCGAGUCAUAAGCUCGCGUUGAUUACGUCCCUGCCCUUUGUACACACCGCCCGUCGCUGCCCGGAACUGAGCCGUUUCGAGAAGACUGGGGACUGCGAACUUUGGGCUGGAAAACAGCUUUUUGUUUGUGGAAACCACUUUAAUCGCAGCGGCUUGAACCGGGCAAAAGUCGUAACA